GUAUAAUUCCUUAACCCUAACACGACUCACCCUUUCCCUCUCUGACUCUCUUCCUCGUAUUACCUUUUCUCACUUCUCACUCAACGAACCAGCGAUCUCUGCGAGUCGGCGACGAACAUAGCAGCGGCAGCCAUUCUUUCCAUCUCCGGCGAACUUGUAGUGAUCCAGCAAUUAGGUCCUCUCAUCAUUUUUAUCAUUCUCCGGCGAGGCGGCAACGAAUUAGACUAACAGUGGAAGUCGGCGAUCUCAUCUCAGACUUCAGAUAUCAGAUUUAUCAAACACCACCUAGGAUAGCAGAAAAACGGAGAGAGUGAAAGACAAAGAUGCCAGGAGGAGCGUUUUGGGCGACGAGGGUGCUAGAAAUAGUGAAGAAACAUGACUCGGGAGGUCUGGUUUGGAAGAGAAUCAAGCUUACUUGUACCAGAAAAGCCAACGCCAAGAAGAGGCUUCUCCGGGUUUGGCAGAAUGAGGCUGUCUUGAAGGCUUGUGCUGAACCACCUCCUUCAGAAGCUUCAACUGCUGGUGCUACUGGAAUAUCCAAGAAAGAUUGCACCUUGCAACCUUAGCAGAAAUGAGUGACAACACCAGAUGAGCCUGAAGUGUGGGCUUUGGCGAUUCCAAGUUUCUUGUGGAAAUCGUUUUUUCCGAACAAAUAGAGGUUUACGAUCCAAACGGCAGCUUCACAUCCUCCCACCUUGAAGCAAAGCAAAUAAUUCCCUUACUCAAUGGCGACAUUUUUACGAUUUAAGAACAUGUCGUAUAAACUUAGAAAUUUUGUUCUGAUUCUUAGAAGAAAUAUUACAUGGAUAUUAUAUAAUAUCAAAGCCUUCUCCAUGUUUCCAUCAUGGACAAUGAAAAGGUGAACAUGAUUGAUGGGGUAAAGUUGU
RNA transcript from Nelumbo nucifera (sacred lotus), 887 nucleotides. RefSeq lists it as uncharacterized. Lineage: Eukaryota; Viridiplantae; Streptophyta; Magnoliopsida; Proteales; Nelumbonaceae. The record is from RefSeq and is a predicted model, not a curated record.